UGUCACAUCCUCUCAGUUCCUCUCGGAUUUUAACCACAGCUGUGCUGGGCAGGUCCAUUCAAGUCUCAAGCUGCCAGAGGCCACCUUCAUCUGGGAAUUUCUCUGCUCUUCUGUCUUGGAGCCACCUUCAAAGAGGCAGAAGCCACUCAACACACAGCCCAGAAGUAUAGAGGAGUUGUUCUGGAAAUGAUGCAGAAGGGCUGGACCCCGGCUAAACCCCACUCUUAAGCCUGGAACCAUGGCCCUAAGUGAAAACAGCUGACCCCAUUUUUCUGUGCAAAUGUUGCCUUUUUGGCCUGCCCCGCCCCUAUCUUGUGCCCAUAAAAGACUUCAGCUGGCAGAGCAAUACUAGCGGCUGAGCUUUGAAGAUACAAGUGGCUGAGUGUUGGAGACUACAGACAGACAAAGCUAACUUCAGAAUGUACAGCUUCGGAAAGGGGCCCAGCUGGAAAUAGCCGGGCUUCAGAGGAAGAUCACCCUCCCUUCCCCUUUCCAGUCUCCCUUUCUGCUGAGAGCCACCCACCGCUCAGUAAAGUCUUCCACAUUCAUCACCUUUCAAACAUUCCUAUGACCUGAUUCUUCCUGGAUGUCGGACAAGAACCCAGGUGCCAAGAGGGCAGGGGCUGCCACCCUGACCCUCCACUGAGCCAGUUGACACUUGGCCAUCCCUAGAUGGCAGCUGAAAGAGCUUUGGUUGUAACACACUUGGAGGCUGCCGUGAGGUCUGCACAGAGCCUGCUCCCACCAGAGAGGAGCCACUGACUGGUUCUAGCAUUCAUUCACUCUGGUUCCUGCAGUCCCUUGCUCACAUACUCCCUCCUGUGAGGAAUGGCCAGCAGCAGACUAUGAUAUGAGCCACUCCAGUUCCAGCCUGUGAAGGGGGUCAAGGGAACUAUCCCAUCUCAGUACAGUAUUAUAUAGUUACAAAUUUUCGGAGUAUCUUAACUGAGAAGAAAAUGGCAUUGUUUUCCAUACCAAUUAGAAUAAGAAAUGCUUGCAAAGAAUGACAGUAAAGGUGUGGUGGCUCAUGCCUGUAAUCCCAGCACUUUGGGAACCAAAGUGGGCAGAUCCCUUGUUGCCCAGGCUUGGCAACAUAGCAAGACCUUGUCUCUACAAAAAAUACAAAAAAAAUUAGCCAAGCAUGGUGAUGCAUGCCUAUAGUCUCAGCUACCCAGGAGGCUGAGGUCGGAAGAUCACCUGAACUCAGGAUCGGGGGUGAGUCAAGGCUGCAGUGAGUGAGCCGUGAUGACGCCGCUGUGCUCCAGCCUGGGUGACAGAGUGAGACCCUAUCUCAAAAAUAAAUAAAUAAAUAGUAUUACAUCUUAAAAGCUUUACAAAUGCUUUCAUACAAAUGUAAAUUUCUUACAGGAGAGUCCAUCUAAAGAGUACCUGUAUGUUCAUUAAAAUAAUCUAAAGAAUUUAAAAGUCGUUACCUCUAAUAAAUGAUAUCUUUGCCCUCAGUGUGUAAAAUUAUGUUUAGUUAUUUGAAUAUUUUGUUUAAAAAUACUUCUCUACCUGUUGUAGUGUAUAUAGGCUAAGUAAUUUAGUAAUAAAGCAUUGUUUUA
RNAcentral lists this long non-coding RNA (1565 nucleotides) under Homo sapiens (human). RNAcentral describes it as "HSALNT0264563". Lineage: Eukaryota; Metazoa; Chordata; Mammalia; Primates; Hominidae. The record is from RNAcentral.